Molecule: ribosomal RNA, 298 nt
Filed under: uncultured soil bacterium
Lineage: Bacteria
Description: partial 16S ribosomal RNA
Rfam family: Bacterial small subunit ribosomal RNA
Source: RNAcentral
AGAACGAACGCUGGCGGCAUGCCUAACACAUGCAAGUCGAACGAGACCUUCGGGUCUAGUGGCGCACGGGUGCGUAACGCGUGGGAAUCUGCCCUUAGGUACGGAAUAACUCAGGGAAACUUGUGCUAAUACCGUAUGAUGUCGAGAGACCAAAGAUUUAUCGCCUAGGGAUGAGCCCGCGUAGGAUUAGCUAGUUGGUGGGGUAAAGGCCUACCAAGGCUACGAUCCUUAGCUGGUCUGAGAGGAUGAUCAGCCACACUGGGACUGAGAUACGGCCCAGACUCUACGGGAGGCAGCA